CAASCAACAAUGUUGUGCAUUUGCAGGUCGAGUGCGCCGAGACUUUCGAGAAGGCGAUAUGAGCUCAAUUUUGAGGCCAGCUUGCUGGUACCCGGAUUGGAGGAAUGUUGUUCGUUUUGGAUGUGAAUGGGGGAAAGGUUUUCGGGCUCGUAUGGGUUCGAAUUGGUGUGGGGUGGCAGUUGCAUGCAACAUGUGCCUUCUGCCAAUUCGGUCCUGUGCGAGCUCACAAUCCCACUCUCGGCGUAAAAGUUGGUCAUCUAUCCGACCCGUCUUGAAACACGGACCAAGGAGUUUAUCGUGUGCGCAAGUCAUUGGGUGUUGAAAACUCAAAGGCGCAAUGAAAGUAAAGAAUCCGCAAGGAUACGACGUGUGAUCUGAGCAAUCACGAUUGCCUGGAGCAACAUGGCCCCAUUCUGGUCGCUUGCGACGGGGUGGAGGAAGAGCGGAAAGUUGGUGAACUAUUCCUGAGCAGGAUGAAGCCAGAGGAAACUCUGGUGGAAGU
Molecule: ribosomal RNA, 502 nt
Filed under: Pratylenchus penetrans
Lineage: Eukaryota; Metazoa; Nematoda; Chromadorea; Rhabditida; Pratylenchidae
Description: eukaryotic LSU rRNA
Rfam family: Eukaryotic large subunit ribosomal RNA
Source: RNAcentral